AUUUUUUACAGAAAAAACAAACCACUGUACUGCAUGAAUCUUACAUUCUUAAGAAGUUGCUCCCCACUUCUACCCAUUCUCUCAACAUGCACACUGUACACAUCAGCUCCAUGCCACAUCAGCGUUCAUUUUUUUAUUUUUUAUUUUUGCCAAGAGUAGCCAUCUCCCGAGCCUUAACUACCUAGAAAAAAUAAAAGAGAAUAAUAUCUUUCCCUGCAACCGACCGAACAAUUAUUACUCGAUCUCUAUUCCUCCCCGUCUCUUCGUUACUCCAAUCUCAUCCCUUCCCCUUCUCUCGGCCCUUCCCUCGAUUUCCUUCGCCGCCGUUCACAGCAGCCCCCGCAGCUAUGGUUGUUCUCAUCUAUGUUCAGAUCCAAAAAUACGCCAAUUUUCUUCCCCGGCUACAGUAGGCCGCGGUGGCUGGGAGCUCCUCUGACAGGAUGGCGGUCCAGCUUGCCUCCACGGCUCUCUGGGAUUCUAUCGGGCCAGGCUCCCCUUGCUGUUGUGGUGCCAUGCAUCUACGAGACGGUGAUCCCUCACCUCCCCUCUGUAUCUCCGUUUUGUACAAGGUAGCUCUGGUGUUGCGAGGGCUAUGAUUCCAACCAGAUUUCGACCAGGCGCUGGUGAGAUUGGACUCCGAAGUAGGCUUUCGUUGUCGUCUAUCUGGUGCAACACCAGACUGUGGUUCAAAUCCGCCGAUGAGAGGCACCUCCACGAGACUACUCUCGCGUCUCUACCGACCGCACCGCCUCGAACGCCCGCUGAUCCGUCCACCUGCGCUGGCGUGCCAGACACUGACCGGAUCCUUCCUAUGGUCAAAUGCUUGCCUUCUCAUCUUCUCCAAUAACUGAGACCAAUGGAGAUAUCUGAAACUGUCGGUACACACUCAAUCGGCACCUGAGGAGACACGCAAUCGACUUUACCUUAUCCUCCUUGAUACACAUCUAGCCAGUAAGUUCCUUAUCUAGCAUCUGCACAGAUUCUCUUAACUCUGCUGAACUUGCAUAUAGCACACACAACCGGUGUCCUAAUCUCCUCCAUGUUAGUACAUGAUAUCUGUGUUGUGUGGCGUCAAGCUAAGCACAAUGGCAUGGAUCUCAUAUGUGGAUAUCUUCUAUUGCUCAUUCCUUAGUGUUUCCAAUGCUGACUUCAUCCUCUUUUUCAGGUUGAGUAUCCCAAUCAUCACAUAUUGAAAGUUACAUUGGACACAUAUAUAGUUCCUGAACAAUUUCUAGUUUUUCUUUGGUGAUGUACUUUUAUCUGUUAGUUUGCAUCUCAAUUAUGGUCUUGGUUUUGUUUUCAAGUUUAUAAUUGCGAAUUUCCAUACAAUUUGCAAUAACUUUUCUUUUACAUAAUAUAUUCACCGUGCCCGAGUCCUCCAUCGACGGAAGACUGCGCAGGAUGGACUGAUCAACGAUGUGGUGGUUGCUACACCAGUCCGGUACCUCCACAAGGAGAAGGAGGAGUUCAGUUGAGUCAAGGCUACGUUUCAAAGCUAAUCAUUUUUUCCAAACAUCUGUGUGGACUAGAUUAAUCAGAGGACGAGUGACACUGCCAUGCGCUACUUGCAGCUGCUGCCUUUUCUCCCUCAAGCAUGGGAAUCGCUGGUGUGCCUACGUGAACCCACACCACAGUUAAAUAAAAAAAUUGGACGGGGAGAGCAAACUUGGUACACUAAAGGGCAACCUGGUGCAUGUAGCUCCCGCUUGCGCAGGGUCCAGGGAAGGGUCCGACCACUAUGUAUUCUUUUUUCCUUCGACGGCUUCAGGUCAUGUGUCGGUCAUUCAUGUUUGGUGGUUUCUGAUUGUACUUCAGAAGAAAAAAAUUAGUGACUGCCAUAUCCUACAUAUGCGUGUACAUAAUACCAAAAGAUGUAACAUACUCAUUUUGUUUUUAGGUAUGCAGGUAUUUUGUAAAUAUUAUAUCUAAAUGUGAUCUAGAUUGUAACAACUUUUGUGAGCAUCUAAAUGUUCCAGUUGUCAUUACAAGCUUUCAGCC
RNAcentral lists this ribosomal RNA (1998 nucleotides) under Triticum aestivum (bread wheat). RNAcentral describes it as "partial small subunit ribosomal RNA". The record is from RNAcentral. Lineage: Eukaryota; Viridiplantae; Streptophyta; Magnoliopsida; Poales; Poaceae.